GAUGAACGCUGGCGGUAUGCCUUACACAUGCAAGUCGAACGGAGAUUAGCUUCGGUUAAUUUUAGUGGCGAACGGGUGAGUAACACGUAGGUAACCUGCCCUUAAGACGAGGAUAACCAAGGGAAACUUUGGCUAAAACUGGAUAGGAACAUUGGAGGCAUCUCUGAUGUUUUAAAAGACCUAGCAAUAGGUAUGCUUAAGGAGGGGCCUGCGGCGCAUUAGUUAGUUGGUGAGGUGAAGGCUUACCAAGACGAUGAUGCGUAGCCGGACUGAGAGGUUGAACGGCCACAUUGGGACUGAGAAACGGCCCAAACACCUACGGGUGGCUG
This 329-nucleotide ribosomal RNA is filed under the name uncultured Mycoplasmatota bacterium. RNAcentral describes it as "bacterial SSU rRNA". It matches the Rfam family "Bacterial small subunit ribosomal RNA", at positions 28 to 351 of the family's 1533-position model. Lineage: Bacteria; Bacillati; Mycoplasmatota. The record is from RNAcentral.